Long non-coding RNA from Gossypium raimondii (Peruvian cotton), 693 nucleotides. RefSeq lists it as uncharacterized. The record is from RefSeq and is a predicted model, not a curated record. NCBI's taxonomy places the organism in Eukaryota, Viridiplantae, Streptophyta, Magnoliopsida, Malvales, Malvaceae. The transcript is spliced from 2 exons.
ACGCGCAGAUCUUACAUAUACGGGUCGGGUCGCGCACGGCUAUAGGCCUAUUCGGCGCCGUUUUUGUCUCUGAGCCUAAACCCCAAAACGGCGUCGUUUGGUACCCUUAUUUAACCAAAAAAAAUUUUUAUUAUUCUUUUUUUAAAAAAAAACUUCAGCAACCAAAGUCUCUCUCAACCCCCCCCAUUCCGCCUAUGGUUCCGGCCAUUACUGCCGCCGUAACGCCACCGCGUUCGAUGGCCGGCGUCGCGCGAAGAUCCCUUCUACGACCAGCGUUUUGAAACGCAUUUAAAGGUCGAGUCUUUGAAGCGAGAAAUCGGGGAAAAAAAAAGGUCCUUGGCCCCCUUCGAAUACAGAUCCAGUGGCGGCGAAGGGAUUUCGACGACGGGGCUAUGGGUCGAACGGUUUUUCUUGCAGGUAUGGAGAUCGUGAAAGAGGCGCACGUUCGUGGGUAGAGACGGUUGUCGUUACGUGGGCAGUUGCUGCGGCGCCGAUUUGCUUCAAUCUGCUUAGGGUUUCUUUGACUGUUAUGGGUUUGGGCUUUAGGUUGGGCUGAUGUAAUUAUUUUUUAGGGUCUUUUGUAAUUGGGUUAAUGGAUAUUUUCGUUUUUUUAUUUGAUUUGGGCCCCGGGCAAAAAAAUUGGGUAUUACAAGCACCACAGAUAAGACUAAUGGCAUCAGUUUGAGUUUGAAA